GACGAACGCUGGCGGCGUGCUUAACACAUGCAAGUCGAACGGAAAGGCCCUGCUUUUGUGGGGUGCUCGAGUGGCGAACGGGUGAGUAACACGUGAGUAACCUGCCCUUGACUUUGGGAUAACUUCAGGAAACUGGGGCUAAUACCGGAUAGGAGCUCCUGCUGCAUGGGGGGGGUUGGAAAGUUUCGGCGGUUGGGGAUGGACUCGCGGCUUAUCAGCUUGUUGGUGGGGUAGUGGCUUACCAAGGCUUUGACGGGUAGCCGGCCUGAGAGGGUGACCGGCCACAUUGGGCCUGAGAUACGGCCCAGACUCCUACGGGCGGCAGCGGUGGGGAAUAUUGCACAAUGGGCGGAAGCCUGAUGCAGCAACGCCGCGUGCGGGAUGACGGCCUUCGGGUUGUAAACCGCUUUCGCCUGUGACGAAGCGUGGGUGACGGUAAUGGGUAAAGAAGCACCGGCUAACUCCGU
RNAcentral lists this ribosomal RNA (467 nucleotides) under uncultured bacterium. RNAcentral's name for it is "partial 16S ribosomal RNA". It matches the Rfam family "Bacterial small subunit ribosomal RNA", at positions 28 to 506 of the family's 1533-position model. The record is from RNAcentral.